GACGAACGCUGGCGGCGUGCUUAACACAUGCAAGUCGAACGGAAAGGCCUUUUCGGGGGUACUCGAGUGGCGAACGGGUGAGUAACACGUGGGUGAUCUGCCCUGCACUCUGGGAUAAGCCUGGGAAACUGGGUCUAAUACCGGAUAGGACCGCACUUUAGUGUGUGUGGUGGAAAGUUUUUUCGGUGUAGGAUGAGCCCGCGGCCUAUCAGCCUGUUGGUGGGGUAAUGGCCUACCAAGGCGGCGACGGGUAGCCGGACUGAGAGGUUGGUCGGCCACAUUGGGACUGAGAUACGGCCCAGACUCCUACGGGGGGCAGCAGUGGGGAAUAUUGCACAAUGGGCGCAAGCCUGAUGCAGCGACGCCGCGUGGGGGAUGACGGCCUUCGGGUUGUAAACUCCUUUCGCCAGGGACGAAGCGUUUUGUGACGGUACCUGGAGAAGAAGCACCGGCUAACUACGUG
Molecule: ribosomal RNA, 463 nt
Filed under: uncultured bacterium
Lineage: Bacteria
Description: partial 16S ribosomal RNA
Rfam family: Bacterial small subunit ribosomal RNA
Source: RNAcentral